RNAcentral lists this ribosomal RNA (492 nucleotides) under uncultured bacterium. Its description in RNAcentral is "partial 16S ribosomal RNA". It matches the Rfam family "Bacterial small subunit ribosomal RNA", at positions 29 to 507 of the family's 1533-position model. The record is from RNAcentral.
AGUGAACGCUGGCGGUAGGCCUAACACAUGCAAGUCGAACGGCAGCACAGUAAGAGCUUGCUCUUACGGGUGGCGAGUGGCGGACGGGUGAGGAAUACAUCGGAAUCUACUUUUUCGUGGGGGAUAACGUAGGGAAACUUACGCUAAUACCGCAUACGACCUACGGGUGAAAGCAGGGGAUCUUCGGACCUUGCGCGAUUGAAUGAGCCGAUGUCGGAUUAGCUAGUUGGCGGGGUAAAGGCCCACCCAGGCGACGAUCCGUAGCUGGACUGAGAGGAUGGUCGGCCACACUGGAACUGGGACACGGUCCAGACUCCUACGGGAGGCAGCAGUGGGGAAUAUUGGACAAUGGUCGCAAGCCUGAUCCAGCCAUACCGCGUGGGUGAAGAAGGCCUUCGGGUUGUAAAGCCCUUUUGUUGGGAAAGAAAAGCAGCAGGUUAAUACCCCGCUGUUCUGACGGUACCCAAAGAAUAAGCACCGGCUAACUUCGUG